GACGAACGCUGGCGGCGUGCUUUACACAUGCAAGUCGGACGAGUGGCGGACGGGUGAGUAAUGCUUGGGAAUCUAGCUUAUGGAGGGGUAUAACUACGGGAAACUGUAGCUAAUACCGCGUACCAUAGGAUGAGCCCAAGUGGGAUUAGGUAGUUGGUGAGGUAAAGGCUAACCAAGCCGACGAUCUCUAGCUGGUCUGAGAGGAUGACCAGCCACACUGGGACUGAGACACGGCCCAGACUCCUACGGGAGGCAGCAGUGGGGAAUAUUGCGCAAUGGGGGCAACCUGACGCAGCCAGGCCGCGUGAAUGAAGAAGGCCUUCGGGUUGUAAAGUUCUUUCGGUAGAGAGGCGUUAACUAAAGAAGAAGCACCGGCUAACUCCGUGCCAGCAGCCGCGGUAAUAC
RNAcentral lists this ribosomal RNA (405 nucleotides) under uncultured bacterium. RNAcentral describes it as "partial 16S ribosomal RNA". It matches the Rfam family "Bacterial small subunit ribosomal RNA", at positions 28 to 526 of the family's 1533-position model. The record is from RNAcentral.